AGCCUGCGGCGGAGCCGGGGCCUGAGCCCGGGCCGCGCGGGCCGCGAAUUCGUGGAGUUGCGUGUGCGGCCAGUGCUCAGUCUGCCCGGCCCUGGCCCCGCGCCCACGCGCGCCUUGGA
MicroRNA precursor from Otolemur garnettii (small-eared galago), 119 nucleotides. The record is from Ensembl. NCBI's taxonomy places the organism in Eukaryota, Metazoa, Chordata, Mammalia, Primates, Galagidae.